UACGUAGGGUGCAAGCGUUAAUCGGAAUUACUGGGCGUAAAGCGUGCGCAGGCGGUUGUGCAAGACAGGUGUGAAAUCCCCGGGCUUAACCUGGGAACUGCACUUGUGACUGCACAGCUGGAGUACGGCAGAGGGGGAUGGAAUUCCGCGUGUAGCAGUGAAAUGCGUAGAUAUGCGGAGGAACACCAGUGGCGAAGGCGGUGUUCUGGGUCAGUACUGACGCUGAGGCGCGAAAGCGUGGGGAGCGAACAGG
This 253-nucleotide ribosomal RNA is filed under the name uncultured bacterium. RNAcentral describes it as "partial 16S ribosomal RNA". It matches the Rfam family "Bacterial small subunit ribosomal RNA", at positions 524 to 776 of the family's 1533-position model. The record is from RNAcentral.